AGAUUUUCGUUUUCUCUCGGUAAGCGUUGACGACUAUUUGUUUCAGAUGCGCCUGUGAAAAAACGUACUUUUUUAUGACUCAAUAACAUCAAUACUUAUUCGUAUAUCGUGAUCAUUGCUGUAAUAUUUUUUGUUUUGAAGUUUUCCUUGCGUCAGCGUUCUUGAGGCCGUACCCGAAUCUAGAUUGCAAAAAAUCAUUUCUAUUUUGUCAAUUUUCUUUUAGUUUACAGUUUUGAUGUGUAUCUCCGAAGGACAGGUAGGUCUUUUUCACAAAAUAAUACGAAACGCUACACGAAAUUGGACUUCAAUUUCUGAACGAUUGGACAUUUAAAAAAAUUCAUGUUUAAAUUUUUCAGACUUUAUCGGCUUCGGAAUACGGUCUCAAAACUUGACUAUUUAUAUAUGGUUUCGUUCAAAUGUAACGAAACUUAACUCGAAUAUCGACCACUGUGUAUAAGAGAAGGAAAGACGUCACGUAAACGAAUCGCAUGUUGUCGAUGAUUAUUUGCACGAGUGGGUGGAAAUUUGAAAAUAUCAAAUAUCCGAAAAACACGACUAAAAUUCUCGCGUCGACUUUUGAUAAUCUAAUGGGCGAAUUAAACGCGAUUAUUGAUAAUUGAUGGCGGGAGGAAAGCCAUUAUCGUGUCAACGCGUGGGUCAUAAACUAUUCGGCGACGUCGAUUUUCGCUUCACCCGGCAUUCUCGCCACCGCCAAUACACCGGAGAACAUCGUGUGAAAAGAGGUGGAAUGGGAGUCGAGUGAGAGGACGAAUACUAUUCGAAAAUUUGGAGUAGGAAGCGGAGAAGUUGACGAAUAGGAACGUACCAAAUUUACAUGAGAGAACGCAACGUAAUGCUUUCCGGACUGUCGACUUUUGAUAAUCUAAUUGGCGAAUUAAACGCGAUUAUUGAUAAUUGAUGGCGGGAGGAAAGCCAUUAUCGUGUCAACGCGUGGAUCAUAAACUAUUCGGCGACGUCGAUUUUCGCUUCACCCGGCAUUCUCGCCACCGCCAAUACACCGGAGAACAUCGUGUGAAAAGAGGUGGAAUGGGAAUCGAGUGAGAGGACGAAUACUAUUCGAAAAUUUGGAGUAGGAAGCGGAGAAGUUGACGAAUAGGAACGUACCAAAUUUACAUGAGUGAACGCAACGUAAUGCUUUCCGGACUUUUACAGUGUUUAUUUGUAACGACACUCUUAUGUGCACACUCGGAUCACUCGGCCAGUAAGGAAAACUUUGGAGGCCUUAUUCACAGAAUAACAUGAAACGAUACACGGAAUUGGACUUCAAUUUUUGGACGAUUGGACAUUCGUUUAAAAUUUCACGGCUUUAUCGGCUCCAGAAUGCGGUCUCAAGAGCGAGGCUGCAGGAGAACUUAUACAAGACGUUUUGUAGCAUUGGAUUGAUGAAUGAGAGCAUCGAAUGUCAAAAUUUCUUUGCGAGGAAGUUAACUAAAAAAGUUAAAUUAACAAAGCGGAUUGUACGACCAGGAUGUUGGUCGAAACGACUACUUUUUUCGAUCGUUUCCUGAUCGUACAAUCCGCUAGGGUACGUAAAGUAUAAACUAUAAGCUACUACUGUAGGCGCUUUGGCCGUUAAGUAGCUUUAGGCAACGAUUGAACAGCCUUUUAAAAAUUAGCACAUAAAUUUCGAGGUUGAUUAUUAUUUAUCUACGGUUUCGUUCCAAUGUACCGAAACUUAACUCGA
Molecule: long non-coding RNA, 1705 nt
Filed under: Venturia canescens
Lineage: Eukaryota; Metazoa; Arthropoda; Insecta; Hymenoptera; Ichneumonidae
Description: uncharacterized LOC122417563
Source: RNAcentral